GAUGAAGAACGCAGCGAAAUGCGAUAAGUAAUGUGAAUUGCAGAAUUCAGUGAAUCAUCGAAUCUUUGAACGCACAUUGCGCCCGCCAGUAUUCUGGCGGGCAUGCCUGUUCGAGCGUCAUUACAACCCUCAGCCCCCCGGGCCUGGCGUUGGGGAUCGGCGGAGCCCCCCGUGGGCACACGCCGUCCCCCAAAUGCAGUGGCGGUCCCGCCGCAGCUUCCAUCGCGUAGUAGCUAACACCUCGCGACUGGAGAGCGGCGCGGCCACGCCGUAAAACACCCAACUCUUCUGAAGUUGACCUCGAAUCAGGUAGGAAUACCCGCUGAACUUAAGCAUAUCAAUAAGCGGAGGA
Molecule: unclassified non-coding RNA, 352 nt
Filed under: soil metagenome
Description: partial contains 5.8S ribosomal RNA, internal transcribed spacer 2, and large subunit ribosomal RNA
Rfam family: 5.8S ribosomal RNA (bases 1-120)
Source: RNAcentral